UGGGGAAUUUUGGACAAUGGGCGAAAGCCUGAUCCAGCAAUGCCGCGUGUGUGAAGAAGGCCUUCGGGUUGUAAAGCACUUUUGUCCGGAAAGAAAUCCUUGGCUCUAAUACAGUCGGGGGAUGACGGUACCGGAAGAAUAAGCACCGGCUAACUACGUGCCAGCAGCCGCGGUAAUACGUAGGGUGCAAGCGUUAAUCGGAAUUACUGGGCGUAAAGCGUGCGCAGGCGGUUUGCUAAGACCGAUGUGAAAUCCCCGGGCUCAACCUGGGAACUGCAUUGGUGACUGGCAGGCUAGAGUAUGGCAGAGGGGGGUAGAAUUCCACGUGUAGCAGUGAAAUGCGUAGAGAUGUGGAGGAAUACCGAUGGCGAAGGCGAGCCCCCUGGGCCAAUACCUGGACGCUCAUGCACGAAAAGCGUGGGGGAGCAAACAGGAUUAGAUACCCUGGUAGU
This 452-nucleotide ribosomal RNA is filed under the name uncultured bacterium. RNAcentral's name for it is "partial 16S ribosomal RNA". It matches the Rfam family "Bacterial small subunit ribosomal RNA", at positions 355 to 794 of the family's 1533-position model. The record is from RNAcentral.